This is a long non-coding RNA of Daphnia pulex (common water flea), 556 nucleotides long. RefSeq lists it as uncharacterized. The transcript has 4 exons. NCBI's taxonomy places the organism in Eukaryota, Metazoa, Arthropoda, Branchiopoda, Diplostraca, Daphniidae. The record is from RefSeq and is a predicted model, not a curated record.
GACAGUCAGACAGAGAUAUGACAUUACACGUUUCACGUCCAACAAGUCGUAACUUUCAUAAGUUUCUUCGCAGCAAAUUAAAAAGUUAAACAACGGAGAUCGAAUGAGUCAACUGUUUAUAAUGUCAGCUGAAGUUGUUGUGUGACCUGGCCAACUGGGACCAAUAAAUAAAGCAGCCAAUAAUGCAAGCCAUGUCUUCUGAAGCUAAAUAAUUUCUGUUGCAAGUUAACUUUUCGCUGUCAAGUUGUAAAUCUUCAAGAUAUUGGUGCCUUCGCCAGAUCCAAUUCUUUACUGCAAUCUAUUUUAAGGACACCAGCAAGAAAAUGCUGCUACUCAAGAUUUAACGGUGACCACCACUGAGUUCUAAUUUAAGACAUGUUAAUCCCUCACCGCCGUUAUAGUUGUUUGAAACUGAUGAGAGAUUGCUGGAACUGAAGAUUGAUAAUUUGUGUAGACUUAGAUCAAUUACAAGUGCAUAUCUGGGCUGGGCUCCUUCUUUUCUGUGGGCCCGUUUCCCUAACUAACCAAUAACCAACGCCCGCCGGUGGUCACUCAC